This 585-nucleotide long non-coding RNA is filed under the name Pan troglodytes (chimpanzee). RNAcentral's name for it is "long non-coding RNA NONPTRT002283". The record is from RNAcentral. Lineage: Eukaryota; Metazoa; Chordata; Mammalia; Primates; Hominidae.
UCCACUUUUUAUAAAACUGGAAUAAAACGGGAAAGUGCCAUCUUUAUUAAUCCUAAUUGAAUUUUAAAUGUCCUUUUGACACAAAAAGGUAUAUACAUGACACAGCUACACAACCUUUUUUCAACUGGACAACAAGUGUCAAAACCCUGUGGAUGUAUAGGGUAAAACAAGAUUGGUCAGGAAAAGAGAAUUGUUCCUAUAACUGGUAAUCUGACACAAUGUCCUAUUGCCAUUAAAAAAAAAAAAAGGUCCAUUUUCAGUUUAUUCAAGUUUGUUUUCAUGGUGUUUUAUCCCUCUUGAUAAAAAAAAAUUCAGACUUUUGUAAUUUGUGUAUGCUGAUCUUCAUCAAAAGGUUCAUUCUCUGGAUCAGAGUCAGUGGUGUCAGAAUAUCUAUAAUGAUCAGGUUCAUUGUCACUAACAUCUGGUGUUACAGAAGUUGAACUGCUAGCCUCUGGAUUUGACGGCUCCUCUACUGUUUUUGUGAAGUACAGUUUCACCUAGAGAAAGAAAAUUUAAAAUGAAAACCCACAAAUAUGACUCAUCUUAAACUAUUUAGUGAAAUAUAUUUAAUACAGUGGUCUAUAA